RNAcentral lists this ribosomal RNA (253 nucleotides) under uncultured bacterium. Its description in RNAcentral is "partial 16S ribosomal RNA". It matches the Rfam family "Bacterial small subunit ribosomal RNA", at positions 524 to 776 of the family's 1533-position model. The record is from RNAcentral.
UACGAAGGGGGCUAGCGUUGUUCGGAUUUACUGGGCGUAAAGGGCGCGUAGGCGGCGUGACAAGUCACUUGUGAAAUCCCCGGGCUCAACCCGGGAACUGCGUCCGAUACUGGCAGGCUUGAAUUCGGGAGAGGGAUGUGGAAUUCCAGGUGUAGCGGUGAAAUGCGUAGAUAUCUGGAGGAACACCGGUGGCGAAGGCGGCAUCCUGGACCGGCAUUGACGCUGAGGCGCGAAAGCCAGGGGAGCAAACGGG